This is a long non-coding RNA of Mytilus californianus (California mussel), 7293 nucleotides long. RefSeq lists it as uncharacterized. The record is from RefSeq and is a predicted model, not a curated record. The transcript is spliced from 5 exons. NCBI's taxonomy places the organism in Eukaryota, Metazoa, Mollusca, Bivalvia, Mytilida, Mytilidae.
CAUGAAUUUGUGGAACAGGUUUUUUUUAUGUAUUUUAAAACGAAAGGAAUGUUUAAUAGUUGAAAUAAUAUUGUUGCAGGUUAUAUGAUAAAAUCUUAAUAAUCUAAUACAUUGUUGAAAACAUAAAAACAUCAAACUUAUUAUAUGAUAGUAAAGUAUAAUGUUUAUACUUUAAAUUCCUGUUUUAAGCAUAUUUAUUUGAAUAUAUUCGAAAAUAAUUUAGCAUGGAAGAAUUAUUUUUGUUGCUUUAUAAUACAUUUAUUAUAUUUUCUUUUUCAGGUAACAACAGUUAACAAAACGCCAUAAAUCGAUAAUGAUUAUUAUUAUCAGUUACAUAUAAAAGGGUUCACAUUUAUAUUGUUUUCUUAUUCAAAUUUUACUCCCACAUUGUCUAAUGUAUAUGCUAAAGCAAAUAAAAUAAAUAGUACAUGUAUACUUUAUUUCCUAUCUCUCAAUAAAUUAUCAUAGCUGUUUUCAUAUGACCACUCAACUAUGUUAAAAUUAGGAAUAAUUUAUCCUAGCUCGAGGUAGAAACCAUUAUAUUUGCAAUCUAAAUAGCAAGUGCUAUUUUUUAGAUGAAAGUUGUACUGUUAUGGCAAUGCGAUUCUGCUAUAUGAAAAAAGGUUGAUGUACCUUACAAGUAUGUAUGCAUCAAAACAAAGAGAGAACCAAGGAUUGAAAGUUUGAAUAUGCAAAUAAGAUCUUGAUGUUCACUUACCUGAGAGACGAUGUUCAUUAACCUGAGAAACGAUGUUCACUAAUCUGAGAGACGAUGUUCACUUAUCUGAGAGACGAUGUUCACUAAUCUGAGAGACGAUGUUCACUCAUCUGAGAGACGAUGUUCACUAUUCUGAGAGACGAUGUUCACUUAUCUGAGAGACGAUGUUCACUAAUCUGAGAGACGAUGUUCACUCAUCUGAGAGACGAUGUUCACUCAUCUGAGAGACGAUGUUCACUUAUCUGAGAGACGAUGUUCACUCAUCUGAGAGACGAUGUUCACUCAUCUGAGAGACGAUUUUCACUUAUCUGAGAGACGAUGUUCACUAAUCUGAUAGACGAUGUUCAUUAAUCUGAGAGACGAUGUUCACUUAUCUGAGAGACGAUGUUCACUUAUCUGAGAGACGAUGUUCGCUAAUCUGAGAGACGAUGUCCACUAAUCAGAUAGACAGUGCUGGAUUACUUCUCCUCAACCUAACAGUUUUAUAAUGAUCAUAUUGGUGAAAAAAAUUAUUGAAUAGACAGUAUCUUAACAGAUACCCAUACAGUAAUUAAAAAUGCUGAUGGUUUACCAAAGCCAUUUGAUUUGCUGGUGUCUGGCAGUUAUGAUUAUUUGUCUAAUUGGAACAACAAUACCAUAUGUAGAGCAAAUAAAUACACUGGACAGAACUUUUCCACUACCGCACAAUAUAUUCGUUAUCCACUGAGAACGCAAGUACUUGUAGAUGGGUUACAACCUAAAGGAACCAAUGUUUGUGAAACAAACAACGGCGGUUGUAGCCAGAUUUGUUUUCCGUUACCGGCUUACAACAGUACAUUAUCUUGGUGCAUGUGUCCUGAUUAGUACGGAAUGACAUCCGAUAAUAAGACUUGCAGAUCUUUUGUUAAUGGUGGAUGGAGUAUAUGGUCUUCCUGGGGUGCCUACUUUUGUGGAAGACAUCAGUUUCGAACACGUAAUUGCACAAAUCCGUCACCCAUAUAUUGUGGACGGUAUUGUGAAAGAUAUUCUGCAGAGCAAAGAAACUGCAGUGUCUUCUGCUAUUCAAAUAACCUAGACGAAACAAAUGCUCUAAUGCAAAUCGUCUGUCUACAAAUAUGAUGUAUUAUUCAGAACCUGAUUGAAAAUGGUCAUAUCGUCAGUAUAAAGAAUAUGUAAAACGUUCACUUUGCUGUAACACCAAAUGCUAUCGAAUUGAAAACAAAUACAAUAAGAAUGAAUUUCCUUGCGAUCUUUCUAGCUGUGUUCUAAAAUGGAACUUACAUGACUGUCAAACUAUAAUAUUGAAGCAACGAUUAGGAAAUCUCAUGUAUGUGAUCGCCUUUUAAGAAUAGAUAAAAAUGCCAAUAUACCUACAUCUCAAAUGAACAGAUUUUUCCUUCCUGAUAUGUGUAUGGUUGCUUUAUAUUUUUUAAAAACCAUUACUGCACUUGUAAAUCAAUUUUGAUCUAAAACGGUCAUUUUGAUCGGAACAGCUCUGGACAAUACCUAAUUAGGUAAUUUUUAGUCUUUCAGUCAUUUUGCAGACUUAGUAACUGCGGCCAAUCUAAUACUGUUCAGACAAUUCGCUUGCAUAUAGAUAAGAUCUGUUCAAUCUGUGUUCAGACUGGUCAAUAGUUUUCAUUUAUCUAUAAGUAUCAUCAUUAUACGGAAUUGUCUGAUAAGCUACUGCAUAGUACGAAAUUCACUGCUAGCGAAUUGUCUUAGCAGGCUUAUAAUUGUGUACGCAAGACGUGCAUUUUGUCUACAUGCGACUCACUGGUUGCUAUGGAAUAAAGCAAUUGGGAGGUCAAACGAAUAACAAAAUCUAUAAUAAGCGAGAAAUAACAAAUCCAAAACAACAUGAACAACUCACCAAUUCUGAUUGAAACAAUCUAUGCUUAAGGGAAAGAAACAUCACUAUUUCGAUUGAUUUGAAAAUCUUUUGAAUUUGGGAACAGUUAAGGUUCAAACAAACUGUACACAACAAAUGAUCCGUAAAUGUAAUUUAAUGUCAGCACAUGAGUGAAGGCUACUGGGUUUGUGAUACAUUGAUGUAUCCCCGGGAAUGAAACGUCAACCAAUAGGCAGUUAGUGACACAACAAAUAUAUAGUAAGUGUAUGUAAACAAAUAACCGACUAAAUCAUCACGUUAGACAAUAGUUAACUUUACGGUAUGAGUUGUACUCAUUGUUGAAGGCCGAACAAAACACAAAACUUACUAAAAUCCGCGUCUUUUAGACUCUGAUGGAUAUCAACAAUUAUGAAACAACUCUUUAUCUUAUAAUGAAAUUUGUGCCUUAAUGAACUUUAAAGCUAAUGCAUUGUGUCUUUUUUCCGUGGGUAUUGUUUUUGCAAUGUACAAACAAAAAACAAAACACCUCCUAUUUACUAUCUACGCUACUUUAGGUGAAGAUUUUAAAAUUUAAAUUGAAACGCGAUAACAAAGGAAUAUUCAAACCUAUUAAAAAAAAUACAUGACAAAAACGACAAAAUAUCAAAAGACAAACAACAGUCAACAACGCACAAUAUAAGCUACGUGAAAUAUAUAUCAAUUGAACAGCAAUCAAACUGACACAAAAACCGAGAGGACAUUCAGAUAUUAAACAAAUAUCAACACAAAUAGUUUACCAGUAGAGAUUCGAAUUCAUCGUUUCCCAUUAGGAUAGUUACACUGCAUUUAUGUUCAAAUUGUAAAGUUCUCUUCUGAUGUCAUUUGUAUAAACAUAAUAUAUUAUUUCUGAUUUUAAUUUUUUUGUCCCGAGUUUUGCUUGGUUGCUUACUAAAUGUUCUAUCGAGCUACAUGUUAAGCGACUAACAGUAGAUAUGUCAACCAUUUCGGUCGAUUUACAUUUGUGUAUCCUUGCACUUUGAAUGAGAUCACUGCUGUUUAAUAUUAUAUUUAAUUCUAUUAUGAUUCGGCAAUGGUAUACCUUUACUGUUUGUACAUACAAAAUAUACAUGGUGCUUAAAUAGCUAGGGAAGCAAAUUUUAAAUUAUUUGAACAACAAUUACUGACAAGACUUCGUUGUGCCUUUAAAAGACCGUUGCUAGCUUUCUCAAGAAAUAGUUACAUUAUUUUUUUGGAUAAUUUACGAAUUGAAUUUAGUUGAAAUAUAAUUUAAAUGUUUUCUACGUCAUAUUCUUCUAAAAUCGUGCAAUGACUACACAGAAUUGUUGUAUUUAAUAUUUUUGCACUUAUGUUUGGUCUUUACAACCCACGUAGAUUUUUUAAAGGUAAUAUUAAACCAGUUUUUAACUAGUUGUCUAUAAUAUAAAGUUUCAACAUUCGCAUUGCUUUAAAUUAUGUCAACACGUAAUCAUAACGAUUCAUCUUUGCUGAAUAGGAUAUAGGACUGACCAGCAAGAUUUUAAAAUAAUAUUAUUAGUAUUUUUAGGGUGUUGAUCAAUCAUAUUACCAAUACAAAUAUUUGAAUAAUUUUGACAUAAAUUUUUUUCUAGUUUUAUAUCCUCGAAAUAUAAGGUAAAUGUGCACAUUCAAUUUCAGUAGUGUUUGCUUAUGUACUUAUUUAACAUCAUUAUCAUAAAAAAAAAAACUCAUUUGCAAUAACAUCUUAAGCCAUAUCGCAUUUAACAUUAACUGUCAUUCUGUUCAUUCGUUUUAAUUCUUUAAGAAUGUUAAUACAAUUUAUGAAAACGUUAUCAUCGUUAUGGUUUGGUUACAUGUACACAUCUAACAUAUUGUAUACUGAAAAAUACGCAUUGACCGUAUGAGAUGGUUUUUCGAGAAAGAAAUUUUCUGAAGAAACAAUCAUUUUUUUUUUAGAACUCAAAGCGUUAAAAAUGUUAAAACUAACAGACCGUGCAGACCACACGACUGGCAGAGAUAUGUUCGAAUUUUCUUAUACAAACAUUAAGUUUUAUAGAAACAUGCAAAUGCAAUUAAAGGAUCCAGGAUAAACAUCCCUCAAUCGAAAAAACGAAUGAAACACAGUUUAUGUAUAAACACACGUCUGCUAUGAAAAAAUGUAUUUGUUUUAGAUUACUUGUCUAAGUUAUAAAAUUUCUUGUUUUAAUUUUCGGACGACAUUUAUCGAAACGUAUAUGCAAUCCUUUUAAUUUAUUUUUCUGGUUACUUGGGCCCUUGAGAUCACCCCCCAUUUAUGGUUGGAUUCAUUUUGCUCUCUCUUUAGUACACAAAAUACAACAUUGAAAGAUAAAGCCUGAGCAACACGAACUCCACCAAAAACCGGGUUUUUUGUUGUUAAUAAAACUCACCAAAGACACAAAUCGUAUAAUAAAAUUUGGUACACCAGAAGCGCAUAUCGUCUACAUAAGAUUUGUCAGUAGCACUGUAAACAAAACAAGUGAAGGCCACAUCAAAUACAUAGCCCUGGAACAUUAAAAAAAACAUCAAGAAGUUUUGAAUAAAAAUGGCUAAGCAAUCUACGGAUUGGAAUAGAAGAACAAUAUUGAUUCGAUUUAUUCAUCAAUCGUUUAUUUUGUUGAAAUAAAUAUCGUUCAAAUACUUUCAAAUUACACUAUAUAUACCCUCAUUAUUUACCAAUCCUGAUAAAAGGUAUAUUAAACAAAAUCCUACUAAAGGAAACGUUAUUUAGGAAUGUGCCAUUCAAAUGAAUCAUAUCAACUCUCCUCACGAUUUCACAUUACCUUGCACGCAUUAUGAAGGAAUGUAUAUCGAGAGGAGUGAAAAUCAUAUCGUUCGUCUGUCUUGCGAAAUAUAAAUACAGAUGGUACACUAUUCAUCUCUACUUGUUUACUUAUCCCGUCAUGUAAUUCCUCAAAUAGUCCACUCAAACUAUAAACUGUCACUAAAUUGUUCAAUUGAUAAAGGAGGAGUUUUAUUGAAUCAGUUUAUCAUAUGUAUUGGCAGAAAUAUGGAAAGAAGACUAAAAAAGUAGGCUAAACGAUUCCUACAUUACAUAUUAUUCCUCGACAGUUUAUACAAAACAAACGAUGAUUGAGGUUUAGGAAUGCCAAGUUACUUGCUUUUCAAAGCAAUGUCAUAUCGAUCUAACAGUAUCAAUAAUCGAGGUGUUAUUGAACAAAACAAUGAUCCGUAUUCACAUAUGUCGGUAUUUAUCCAUUUCCUAGUAUUUUCGAACGUAUUAAACAGGGUUUUGUUCCCUAUAAGGGCAUACAGUAGGCUACUAAUGAAAACACUUUGUUCAAAUUAAAAUAUCGUAGAAGUAGAUCUGUCGGUCAUUAAGUAAAACAUUAAUAGUUUAUGAUUGUUGUUCGAACGAUUAUAACGGUGUUCAAUGUUAUCUUUAAUUAUAUCAAAAUUUGUCAAAUUGAAUGUACCCUUUAACUGCUUUUACUUUUAAUGUAUUUUGAAAAUUAAGGCAAUUUUUUAUAAAAAGUAAAGUAACUAAAAUACCGAACUCCAAAGAAAACUCAAAACGGAAUGGAUUUUACCGUCUGCUUUUUAAUAUAUACAUUAAAAUAAUUUUUUAAAUCUAACCUUUUAAAGAUGUUUGCUCACUUUCAUAAUAAAUAACAUUUCGCAAAUAUAAUUCUUUUGAACAAAAUUAAAUGUUUUCCACGUCAUAUUCUUUUCAAACCAAAAUGAAUGGUUUAAUUUUCGCUUUCAAUUUUUACAACAGAUUCUAAUGCUUAGGCGUCUUUACAAACACAGUAGAAUUUUACCGGGUUUAUCCGAAUUGUUUCAUUUCCAAAAUUAAAAACAUUCACAUUGCACCUGUUGCAUUUAGAGUAUGACAACAGUUUUUGUGAACGAAGAGUGUUUUUAAAGAUACAUAUUUGCUGUAUAUAUUUUGCAUAAAUAGCUAUGAAGUUGAAGUCCAAUCAACUUGAAACUUAAUACACAUGUUCCCUAUGAUAUGAUCUUUUUAUUUUAAUGUCAAAUUCGAGUUUUAACCCCAGUUUCACGGUCCACAGAACAUAGAAAAUGAUAGUGCGAGUGGGGCAUCCUCGUACUAUGGACACAUUCUUGUUUUUUUUUUAUAAUUUACGAAUUGAAUUUAGUUGAAAUAUAAUUUAAAUGUUUCCUACGUCAUUUUCUUCUCAAAUCGUACAAUCACUACACAGAAUUGUUGUAUUUAAUUUUUAUGCACUUACGUUUGAACGUCUUUACAAUUAACGUAGAUUUUUAAAAGGUAAUAUUAUACCAGUUUUAAACUAGUUGUCUAUAAUAUAAAGUUUCAACAUUCGCAUUGCUUUAAAGUACGUCAACAAGUAAUUAUAACGAAGUGUACACCUAAAGAUUCAUCUUUGCUGAAUAGGAUAUAGGACUGACCAGUAAGAUUUUAAAAUAAUAUUAACGGUAUUUUUAUCAUGUUGAUUAAUCAUAUUACCAAUAUAAAUAUUUGAAAAAUUAUGACAUACAUUUUUUGUAGUUUUAUAUCCUCGAAAUAUAAGGUAAAUGUGCACUUAUUGUUAAGUUAACAGAUUGAUAAGUAAGACUGUUUAGAAUUAUAUUAUUGAUAUUGUUAACAUCUUUGUCAUCCAUAUUUCAUCUACAAAUAUUUACAUCAUUUUGACAAAUAUUUAUUGUAAAUUAAAUAAAUCCCAACUUGAGGCAAAUGUGCAUAGUCAAUGUUGUUUUUAUGAGUAUUUGCCUUUGUACUGAUAUAGUACAUUUUAAUAAAUUGUAA